Long non-coding RNA from Mauremys mutica (yellowpond turtle), 1091 nucleotides. RefSeq lists it as uncharacterized. The record is from RefSeq and is a predicted model, not a curated record. NCBI's taxonomy places the organism in Eukaryota, Metazoa, Chordata, Testudines, Geoemydidae. The transcript has 3 exons.
AAGAAGUUAGUUGGAAGGUGACACAGUAUCUCUGCCUAAACUCAAGAGAUCUUGAAGGAGUAAGACCCAUAAGAAGGAGCAGAAGACUAGCUACAGAGACUGAGUUGGGGACCUUCUCUCAAAUAUAAAAUUUGGAGAUGGAUCUGAUCCAAAGCCCAAUGAAAUGAGUGGAAAGAUUCCCUCCAUUGACCUUAAUGAGUUUUGGAUUAUGUCAUAUAAGGAGUCAUCUGACAAUGGAUAUCAAACUAUACAGCUUUUCACUGAACAUUCCUGAAGUACACAACUCUGCAACAGUGACUACAGCUAAGACAAAAUGAAAAAAUAUAUAUACUGACAAUUACCGGAUCAUGUUUCAUCAAUGCAAGAUGUAGGUACAAAGGUGUGUUGUUAAUGGUGGCACCAGUUUUAGCAACAGCAAGUGAUAAUCCUCCAAUGGCUAUGCUGCCACAGAGCACUGGUUCGAUAGGUUCUGCAGCUCUCAUCACUUGGGAUUAUCUUGAUCUCCAACUGCACAAUGCAUUCCACCUCCUUUCUGAUUUUAAAUCCCUCCUCAAAAUUCACUUCCUUCAGCUUGCUUUUAACCACUGAUCUCUAUAUCUUAUCUUUUACCCUUCUCUGUAUUUAGAUGCAAUAAUCUGAUCUUUCAAGCUCCAUACACAAAGCACGUUUUGCAUGUUCUUUAUUUGUUGUAAACCUCAUCCCUCCCUUCCCUUCUUGUUUACAUCAUUUUCUGCAUUUAUCUAGUUUACAUUAUAAGCUCAAUGAGACAAAGUGCAUCUUCUGUUUUCUGCUAAGCAACAUUAAGUAGAAGAAUAUAGCACCCUUAAGCCAUGACCUGAAGGGACCAGAUUUUCAAGUGUUCAACACCCACAAUUUGGGCUAAAUUUUUCAAAAGUGCUCAGCAUCCAAUGUAUCUCCUUUGAAAAUCUUAUCAUUUACUUUGGUUCCUAAAUACAUGCUCUGACCCUUCAUACAAGAAUCACAGAGCAAUUUUCAGUAACAAAAUACAAAUGCAACAGAGUACAUUUAUAGUAUUGUAAGUGAAGAUUCACCAAAAUAGGACCUGAACUACAUUUACAGCAUGUGAUAGA